RNAcentral lists this ribosomal RNA (497 nucleotides) under uncultured bacterium. RNAcentral's name for it is "bacterial SSU rRNA". It matches the Rfam family "Bacterial small subunit ribosomal RNA", at positions 29 to 521 of the family's 1533-position model. The record is from RNAcentral.
AACGAACGCUGGCGGCGCGCCUAAUACAUGCAAGUCGAGCGAGAAGACGUAGCAAUACGUUUGUAAAGCGGCGAACGGGUGAGGAAUACAUGGGUAACCUACCCUCGAGUGGGGAAUAACUAGCCGAAAGGUUAGCUAAUACCGCGUACGCUCCUUGGACUUCGGUUCAGGGAGGAAAGCGAUACCGUGGGUAUCGCGCUCUUGGAUGGGCUCAUGUCCUAUCAGCUUGUUGGUGAGGAACGGCUCACCAAGGCUUCGACGGGUAGCUGGUCUGAGAGGACGAUCAGCCACACUGGCACUGCGACACGGGCCAGACUCCUACGGGAGCAGCAGUAAGGAAUAUUGCGCAAUGGGCGAAAGCCUGACGCAGCGACGCCGCGUGGGGGAUGAAGGUCUUCGGAUUGUAAACCCCUUUCGGGAGGGAAGAUGGAACGAGCAAUCGUUCGGACGGUACCUCCAGAAGCAGCCACGGCUAACUUCGUGCCAGCAGCCGCAGU